UGUAAUUGCCAAAUGAGACAGCACACAUCAAGUUUCUGAACAAUAUAUACCAACAUUUACUGUUAAUUAUACAAGGUUCAAUAUGAUCGUCAUUCAGAUGUUCCAGGGACUGCAUGUGGCGUACGAUAUCUUCCACAUCAGCGCGCAACGUAUCGGCGUGGGUGUCGUGCGUCGCAUGCAGUUGUUGGAACGUCUGAAUGAUGAUCGUGUUGAGCGGCGUGUAAUUAACAGUAAAUGUGUUGUUCAGAGGAUUGAUGUGUCCUGACUAUUAUACAUUCCUUAAUCACACAUUCUGCACUUCUGCACCGCCGCCAUCCUCCUGUUGGCGAAUUUUGAUACUGGAUUUUUUCUUUCGAGGUCGAAACCGCAUGUUUCAUUGUGUACAUCCAUCAAAUUUUGUUGCAUUUCGUCCAGUGCAUGACGCGCUAAAGAGUUCUGCACUCCUCACGUUAUUUUAUGGCCACCCAGUACAUUAGAUACGGAAUUUUUCUCCUACAACGUUUUUAACAUAUACCACAUUAUCAUUAGCUAUAAUUUGGAAUACAUGCAUGCCUAACGUUCUGCUUAAUCUCGUGAAAAAUGUAAAUAUCGCAUUUCAUUAUAAAUAGG
RNAcentral lists this long non-coding RNA (609 nucleotides) under Androctonus crassicauda. Lineage: Eukaryota; Metazoa; Arthropoda; Arachnida; Scorpiones; Buthidae. The record is from RNAcentral.